Molecule: ribosomal RNA, 465 nt
Filed under: uncultured bacterium
Lineage: Bacteria
Description: partial 16S ribosomal RNA
Rfam family: Bacterial small subunit ribosomal RNA
Source: RNAcentral
GACGAACGCUGGCGGCGUGCUUAACACAUGCAAGUCGAACGGAAAGGCCCUGCUUGCAGGGUACUCGAGUGGCGAACGGGUGAGUAACACGUGGGUGAUCUGCCCUGCACUUCGGGAUAAGCUUGGGAAACUGGGUCUAAUACCGGAUAGGAACCAUCUUUAGUGUGGUGGUUGGAAAGUUUUUUCGGUGUAGGAUGAGCUCGCGGCCUAUCAGCUUGUUGGUGGGGUAAUGGCCUACCAAGGCGGCGACGGGUAGCCGGCCUGAGAGGGUGUACGGCCACAUUGGGACUGAGAUACGGCCCAGACUCCUACGGGAGGCAGCAGUGGGGAAUAUUGCACAAUGGGCGCAAGCCUGAUGCAGCGACGCCGCGUGGGGGAUGAAGGCCUUCGGGUUGGAAACUCCUUUCGCUAGGGACGAAGCUUUUUGUGACGGUACCUAGAUAAGAAGCACCGGCUAACUACGUG